Molecule: ribosomal RNA, 489 nt
Filed under: uncultured bacterium
Lineage: Bacteria
Description: bacterial SSU rRNA
Rfam family: Bacterial small subunit ribosomal RNA
Source: RNAcentral
AACGAACGCUGGCGGCGUGGAUAAGACAUGCAAGUCGAACGGGAUUACUGGUGUAGCAAUACAUCAGUGGUCUAGUGGCGUAAGGGUGCGUAACACGUGGGCAAUCUGCCGAGAAGUGGGGGAGUAGCUCGCCGAAAGGCGAAUUAAUACCGCAUGUGGUUAGUGCUGGAUUCAGCACGACACCAAAGCCGGGGCAACCUGGCGCUUCUUGAUGAGCCCGCGGCCUAUCAGCUAGUUGGUGAGGUAACGGCUCACCAAGGCUAUGACGGGUAGCUGGUCUGAGAGGACGACCAGCCACACUGGAACUGAGACACGGUCCAGACACCUACGGGUGGCAGCAGUCGAGAAUUUUUCUCAAUGGGGAAACCCUGAAGGGCGACGCCGCGUGGAGGAUGAAGGUCUUCGGUAUUGUAAACUCCUGUCAUUUGGGAACAAUGUGCACUGAUUAACUGUCGGUGUAUUGAUAGUACCAGAAGAGGAAGAGACGGC